AACCCGGCCGACAGAAGAUGGCGGAUGAGCAGCGUGCAGGGUUUUCUCCCUGUGGCUCACUCUCUCUUACUGUGCUGGGCGGUUGCUUCCUCUCCUGCUGCCCUUGGGAGUCAGACUCCAGGUUCUUCAGCCUGUGGCCCCUGGGGCUCUCGGGCCUUGGAGGACUGACUAGGAGCACACGGUGGGCCUCUCUGGUUUGGGGGCCUGGGACGUGGCGGAGCCCUGCAGCUUCUGUGCGGCCUGUUCUGGGCGUCGCGUUGAAACGCCAGCCAGUUCCCCAAGUAAGCUCCCUGCACACACGCCUGAUAGCCUGUUGGUUCCGUCCUUCUGCGGGAUUUUCACUACCACUCUCUAACUCACACACAGCAGAAAGAGCAUACGGGAGAGAUGAAGCAGUCCACUCCAAGAACAUUCUCAUCCUACGGAUUACGAGUCCCCCUGGGAUUACAGGAGUGUUGAAGAAAUGUUGUGACACAUCAGAACACCGCGAAAUACAUGGACACUUUCAAAUCAUGGAAGACUCAAGCCCACCAGGUAUUUUUGAAAAAAGUACUCUGUGAAAAACAGAAACUGCAAGCAAGACAGAUACCAGGAUUAGGGAUCACGGUGACUUCUACCAUCGCUGGAUACUCCCAAAAGGGUUCUCGAGACAGCAGCUGUGUCUGCCCUGCUUUGGCAUUCUUUCCCAGGCAUGGCGACCGGUCAGGAGGGCAUCUUUCUCGGCUCUUCACUGUGAGAACCUUGUGGGAUUCCUGAAGAUGAAACCAUGAACGCGAGGGAGUCUUGCUAAAACUGCAGCAUUCGAGAGGUUUUCACUCAUGCUGGCUCACACUUGUCCUCUAGCAAUUCAUCAAAAUUACCACGACAAAGAAGACAGAAAAUACUACACACUACCCAGAGAUUGAAACUGAAGGUGUGAACAACAGAGAAAAGAGAGGGCAAAGAAAAGGAAAACAAAGAAGACGUGGGAUAUGAAAGGUGUAUGCCAUGUGUGGACAUCAAGAAAUGUUUCAGCUCGCACUUCUGCCACCAAUUGAGCCUGGAACCUCACUACUUGGAGUUGGGGGGAGGGCAGUGCUCAUUCAUCACCUGUGAAAAUAGGGAUUGAGAGUUCCCUAACUUUGCCAUUUUUCCUCAAGCACUGGCAUUGGUCUUCUGAAUGUCAGGCUCUGUAUAAGUGAGUCCUCAGCUGAGCCACAGGCUCUGCAUUCCUGGCAGUCCACACACUUCAUAUCCUUUGUUUAUGCUGCUCAUUUUGGAAUUCAAACAGGUUGGUGGGGCACAUUUCAACAGAUAAUGACACACACUGACUGCUCAUGAGCUAUUUUAUGGUGUGAGAAUGUUGUGAUGUUAUGAAAUGCGGAGGCAUUAAAACAUGGGGACAUUUUCUAGAAGAUCCUUAGCAGAGAGUACAGAAGACUAAGGUCCAAAUCUCUGAAAUGAUGUUUUCCAAAUUAUUGCACAGCUAUGUCAAAGUACCUUGAUCCAGUUAAUGUUAACAAAUAAAAAAUUAUGAAAUGUUAUUUUCUAGGUAUGGAUAGUAGUGGAUAGUAGUAGAUCUGUUGUGUAGUGGAGAUUACUUAGGAAGAAUAAAUUUCAACUUUACCAAGAAAGUACUACAUUAAUUGCAUUAGGGAAUUGUGAAUUGCAUUAGGAAAAUGCUCAUUCUUCUUUCAAUAGCCAAUAUCUGGAUACUAUACUCUCUUGAAUUUCUAAGAUUUGCAUCCAAUAUUCUAUAAUUAGCUUUCCAGUUUAUUGAAUGAUUUAAUUUACAUACAAAUAUUUUCUAAUAUAUUCCCUGUAAAAUAGUUUAAAAAAUUAAACGUUUCUCUAAUUACACAUUCCUCCCUAGCUGAUACAAUUUCAUUUAUUUGCUUACUUUCCCAGCUGGACAUUCAGAAAUUUUUUACUCAUAUUGUCUUCAAUUGCAUAUUUGCCAGUUUCUAGCUUUUAUUUUAUUUUUUAUAUCCAUUUUGUUCUAGGUGUGGAAAUUGCUAAGUGUAGAGCUUAAUAAUAUUUCACCAGAAAGAUAUGUGUCUAACUCCCUCAUGAAGAAAUAGUAUGUUACCAACACUCCCAAAUUUCCUUUGAUGUCAAAAAGCAUUAUUUUUCUCGAGUCUUUUUUUGUGUUGGUAUGAUAUAUAAACGAAAUCAUAUACACAUUUAUUUUUUCAUUUAGAUACUUUCCUUCAGUAUUAUGAUUGAGACAUUAACCUCAGUUUAAGUAUUUAUGUCAUUUUCAUUGCUAGUUCAUUGUAAGAAGCACACCUUUUAUUUAUCUAUUCCCUUAAUACAUAUUCCUGUUUCCAGUGUUAGAUUAAUGCAAAUAAGGCUAUCGUGAGCAUUCUUUUACAUGUUUUUCAGUGUACAAAUAUAUGCUGAGAGAGGAAUUACUGAAUCACAGAAAGCAGUAUAUGCAGCUAUAAUAGAUAUUACCAUAUCCACCAAACGUUUAGCAUUUCCUGUUUCAUUUUAUUCACUCUGGGGGAUGUAUAGAGAUUUCACAUUACAUUAUAAUUUAAUUUCUCUAAUGUCUAAUGAUGGGGAGCACCUUUUUCAUGUUUUUAUUGUCAAUUUGGCUAUCUUCUUUUUCUAAAUGCAUGUUCAAGUAUUUCAUCCAUUUUUAUUGGUCUUCUUUUUUUACUGGUUUAAUUGAAUUCUUUACAUAUUAUGGAUAUGAGCUCUUUGUCAAUUUUAUAUGUAUGCUUAUAUUCACUCCUACUUCACUCUGCAGCUUGCUUUUUAUUUUUAUGCUUUUAAUAAUGAACAUAAUUUCUUUAUUUUAAUAAAUAUCAUUAUUUUUCUUUAUGGUUAGUGUAUUUGCAACUAGGUUAACAAAUAUUUAUCUCCUUUACAGGCACUAAUAUAUUUCCCAACGUUAUCUUCCAAAAGAGGUCAUGUUGUACCUCUUGUAUUUAGGUAUACAAUACAUCUGAAAUUGAUUUUUGUGUGUGUUGCAGUUAGUAAUGAAGAUUCUCUUUUGAUAUAAAUAUCUAACUGAUUCAGCAUUAUUUCUUUAAAAGGCCACUUAUUUUCAUUGCUGUUGUAAGGAAGGAACAAAGGUUUCUUGUCAUGGCUUUCCUUCUGUAUUGCUCAGUCUCCCUAAAGUAAGUCUAGAAAAUUAAAGAAUUUUUUGAAUUGUUUUUUAUGAAUCAGGCAUUUCUCUAAAUAUGCCAGUCUAUUUCUAGACUAUAUUUGAAUUUGUCUUUAUGCUUUGUUCUAGUGCACACUGUCUUGAACAUUAUAUUUUUAUAAGUAUUGAUAUUUUAUAUUUUUAUUCUGAUUAAUUCAUUUAACUUGCUUUAUAAAUCUUUUGUGAAACAAGAAUGUUAUUUUUGAAGUGGCAGCAUUUAAAGAAUGUUACUUUAUUCAGCUCAAAAUCAUGUAUUACAUACUAUACUGUACUAAGUAUAUAUAUAUACACACACAUAUAUAUACACACAUAUAUACACACACAUAUAUAUACACACACACACACACACACACACACACAUAUAUAUAUAUAUAUAUAUGCACAUUUAAUACCCAAAAAAUCCCAAUCAGGUGUGCACUAUUAGUAUUCUCAUAUUGUAAUUGAAGAAACAAAGUCACAGAGGCACAGGCACAAAGAAGUUAAGCAGAAUGUGAAUGCGAGAUACCUAACACAUGGUGAGUGGAAAUGUCUGUAUUUGAAUCUAGGCACCUGGCUGCAGACUAAGUGCUUUUAGAGACUAUGCUUUGCUGAUUUUCAUUUCAGAGGUGAUUUUACUUUUCUUCUUAAGGUUUUUCAGGAAAGAAUUGGUGGCUGAGAAUAGAUUUUAGAUGUAGAAAUUGUAAGAAGAAGCUGGGGGAGGUGGCUUACACCUGUAAUCCCAGCACUUUGGGAGGCCGAGGCGGGUGGAUCACCUGAGGUCAGGAGUUUGAGACCAGCCUGACCAACAUGGUGAAACCCCGUCUCUACUAAAAAUAAAAAAAAUUAGCCAGGCAUGGUGGUGGGUGCCUUUAAUCCCAGCUACUCAGGAGGCUGAGGCAGGUGAAUCGCUUGAAGCCAGGAGGCAGAGAUUGCAGUGAGCCGAGAUUGCGCCAUUGCACUCCAGCCUGGACAAAAAGAGUGAAACUCCAUGUCAAA
This 4108-nucleotide long non-coding RNA is filed under the name Homo sapiens (human). RNAcentral's name for it is "HSALNT0340811". Lineage: Eukaryota; Metazoa; Chordata; Mammalia; Primates; Hominidae. The record is from RNAcentral.